This 206-nucleotide unclassified non-coding RNA is filed under the name Hevea brasiliensis (rubber tree). Lineage: Eukaryota; Viridiplantae; Streptophyta; Magnoliopsida; Malpighiales; Euphorbiaceae. The record is from RNAcentral.
CUUCCAUGGAGCAAUAUGAAGCUGAGGUGGGUAGGCAUAUAUUGCACGCUUGUAUGGAUUGGUGCUCAGAGCCAUUGGUUGUUCUGGGGUUAUCUGCUUGAAUUUAAGGGCAAAAAUGUUUUCCUACAGCUUUGGCUAGCAAGCUUACUGUUUCUGGCUGCUAAUACUUUUGUUGUUGUCAUGUUUAUCCGGCACCACAGAUGCUG